AGUAUAUUUUGACUUUUUUUCUAUUGUACUUUGAUUUAGGAUAUGUUGCUUGGUUGUGUAUGAUGGAUGCUUGACUAAUGUUACUUGGUUUUGUAAUAUUUCAAUGAAGCUGCAGUUCUCAUUUCACUUCCUGCUUUUCCUUAGCUGCUGUGACCAUCCUACAUCUUUGGUUCUAUUAUGUUGUGUCUUUAUCUGAGGUCUUUUACUUCAUUAUGGUUCAUGGGAUCACCACCAAAGAUGGGUAUUACCUUGGGCAUUCAUUAUAUUUCA
Molecule: long non-coding RNA, 270 nt
Filed under: Elaeis guineensis (African oil palm)
Lineage: Eukaryota; Viridiplantae; Streptophyta; Magnoliopsida; Arecales; Arecaceae
Description: long non-coding RNA (EGUI_LNC066028)
Source: RNAcentral